GCAUAGGUGGGACUUCCUGGCAGGGAGAGUAAGUAGGAGGAGGGAUUUAGUCUCAGGGAAAGAAAAAGAGAUGCCAAGAAGAUGCCAGGGUUCCAGACAGACAGGCAUGGAGGAAGCAGGAAAGUAGGACUCACAGAAUGAAGGAAAGGUAAAAGGCCCCUAGGCAAAAGUAGAUGAGUAGAGCAGGUUAAAUUAAGUUAAAAGAUCUAGUGGGACAAGCCUAAGCUAAGGCCUAACUUUCAUAUAUAAUAAGAAGUCUCUGUGUCAUUAUUUGGGAACUGGCUGGUGGGACAGAGAAAGACCUCAGCUAUAUUUGGUACCCAAAAUGGGGCCUAAGUUUCCUCAUAGGACCUGAGAAGGUUGAAAAACAAAACAAAACUAAAAACAAUGGACACGGCUUCUUUUAGAGGCAUUGCUGUGCAGCAGAGCAGAGCACUUAAGCAACCGGCAAGCUAAGCAGCAACAGCAAGGGUACCCUGAAUAUGGUGUCACCCUCAGACAACAGUAAGCAGUCUAGAAAAUACAAUAGCCACAUUCCCAAGAGGUAAGACCAACCAUACUGUGGCCAAACAGCUCUGCCCAGUUAUGCCCUUCCAAUCAUGAUGGAUGGACUGAUACCUUUGAGAUCAUGAGCCUCAAUAAAUCCCUCCUCCUUGAAGUCAUUUCUGUCAUGUAUUUGACCACAAUAAUUUCAAGAGUAACUGACAUGAUAUAAAUGUUUAAUCAGACACAGUGUAAUCUUUUACUUUAACCAAAUAAGCUUUUCCUAGGUGUAUUAGUACUUCUCAAAAGCAGUUACUUGUUUUUCCUAUUUUUUGACUACUGAACUUUAAGAUAUCUUUUGAAUAUGAUUUUAGGUUUCUGUAGUCAUUAGAAGACAUUUAAAAAUCUCUCCAAUAUAAGAGUUGCCAGAAGGAGAAGUGACUAAGAAGAAAUGUGAAGUGUAUGAUAAAUGAUUAGAAGUACCAUUAUGUGUGUCUAGGAUAAUAUACAUUGAGACAGAAAGGAUUUAGUCAAUCUUUGAGUCCAAAAGAAAUUUCAUGAUUAUACAGAAUCCUGUGGUAGCCCUUCAGGGAGGAAUAGUGGAAUGGUACCAAUUGUUUACAAUUGAAGACACUGUCACAGAGAUGACCCAGAAAACCCAGGUUUUGGAGGAUGUUUCUUCUUCCCAAGCCAUGUCUCAGGGAAUAGGGAAAAAAUGAGGACAUAUUUUGAAAAUAAAACAGCCAUCCACAUUGAUUCAUUGAUAGCAUUUCAAUAGAACAACCUUCCUUAAUUUGUGUUUAUAAUGAUGCCCUUGCCCUCCCAUGCCUUCAUGGGAAAAGGGACUGGUGCUUUGUGCAUUGAUGUUUCAGAAGCUACAGAUGGCUUUGGGACCAGGUUCCAGGUUUUCUGGAUUCACCAUCAAUAGUGAAGCUGGAGGGCAAAUGGAGAGAGGUUGAUGGUUCAAGUGGGGGAGGCAGAGCGUGAGCUGUUCCAUCAGGAGGGGCAGACAGUGAACACUCCCUGGAAAAAGCAGGAAGCAGACUCAGGACGUGGUAAACUGAUAAAGCACAGUGGGGUUCUCAAAUUAUAGGAGGCGACAGUGGCAUUUGAUAGCUUCAUCUUCGUUACAGGAUGUGAUCUUUCAGACAGUCAUUUCUCCGUUGUAAUUGAAAGGAACGAGCCUCAUUUCUCAGAAAGCAACUGAAAAUCAGCUUCAUUUUGCAAAACUGGCUUCAGCUUCACCUUUGCAUUCCUGACUUAUAUAUGACUGAUUCUGUGUUUUCAGUCAUAUUUUUUUCUUGAGCAUAUUAACCAAUAGUUUAUUAUAGGGAGACUAAAAGGGGGGAAGACAGACAGAGAGAGAGAGAGAGA
Long non-coding RNA from Mesocricetus auratus (golden hamster), 1857 nucleotides. RefSeq lists it as uncharacterized. The record is from RefSeq and is a predicted model, not a curated record. The transcript is spliced from 3 exons. NCBI's taxonomy places the organism in Eukaryota, Metazoa, Chordata, Mammalia, Rodentia, Cricetidae.